CACAGGCAGCCCUGUCUAAGACACCAGGAAUUGGGGGUCCCUAGCUUUAAGUCGUGGCAUGCGCUGAUUGUUUGGGAUCGGCCUCAAGACUUCAGCCUUGGCCUACCUAGGCGAUAACCUCUCAGACUGGAGCCAUUCUCAGUGUCCAGGCCCAGGUUUGAGGCUGUGAUGACUCAACUCCGCGUCCCCUCCCCUUGCUAAACUGCGGUCUCCGCCUACCCCCAAUCAAUCUCAAGGAAGUACUUUGGGCGGCAGGAUUCCCAGCACUUAGCUGGUGGGUAAAGGGGCUCAUGCCCUUCCCCACAUCCCACCUUCCCUCCUCCCAGUCUUCGGGAGUGUGGAGCUUCUGCCGGGAUCCGGUAGUCGAAGAAGGAUAUAACCUCCAGACCUGGUAUUUAAGACGCAAGAACCAGCCAGCAAAUGUGGCAGCCGAGCACGCGAGGGAAGGUGGUAGCUGCGGAAGAAGUAGCCGUUUUUUUAUUUGGAGGCUAUGAAACUUGGGAUUCUACUGAGAAGCAGAUGGAGAUGGGAAGCCACAAAAACAAAGACUUUGGACUAUGGACCAGUACCUGGCAGCACGGACACACCCAGCAGCCUAGACUUGGGGUAUGAGCAAUCAUUGCUCUUUUUAAGGCUCCUUACUCAGGCCAUCUACUUUGUUUCCCCACUGAACUGUAUUGCAGUAAAGGCUUCAUCAGCUGGAGAUGAAGAUGUAGAAGUCUCAGCUCCUUCAGAGCUAUGUCUGCCAGGAUGCUGCCAGGCUCCCUCCUUGAUGAUAAUGGACUGAACCUCUGAACCUUCUUCAUUUAAACUGGUCCAUCAAGAGGUGGAGCAGAGUCAAUAAUGAACCACGAACCUGCGUGGAGGUUGCAUGAAAGGAAAAGGAGAAUCAACCACUAACACCCACGUGGCCGUAGCCCCAGCUUUAAGAAUCAGAAAGAGGUCUUCUUCCAUUUCCUUCUUCAGAGUCUUGAAGUUCUUGUCAUACAGAUCUUUCACAUGUUUGGGACGAGAAGCUACAACAUUACUUCUACAGAUUUUCAAAGGAGGCCACGUUCCAAGAUGAGAUAAAUAACCAGUGAGUUAUGUUCCUUUCAGUUUAGAAGAGAUAAUUCUGAGAUUCCAAGGAUGCUUUCCAAACCAGGAAUGACAACCGGAAUAUUUGACACUAUUGUGCUAUUUACUAAUGUUGCCGCCUUACAGGAAGCCAAUGGCUAUUCUAUUUGACUGAAUGAGAAGAAAAGGAAGUCAUUUCCUGUCAACCCUGCUUUGAAUUCCUGGACAGUUUAAGAAGCACCACUGAUCUGAUCAUUGGCACCGAGGAGGAAAUGCCCAUCCACUGAAGACAUGCAGGGCUCAUCCCAGUUUGACAUGGGCAGUGAGUGGUUCCUUACAUAUCCCUUUCUGUAAACUACCCUCUCACACACAUGCCUGCUUCCUUCUUUAAGCAGCCACAUUGGUGGUGCCUCUGUUGUAAGAAUGACUAGAUAGUGGUAAGGAAAGCAUUUGGGAAGGUGAAUCUGUUUUUUCUUUUCUGGUGCUCUCUCAAAACAGGAGAUGUUUUUGUUGAGUAGAUGCAGUCAGUGGUUUCUUGGAUUUGGGGAGUUAAAAAUCAUGCUGCACAGGCCUAUUGACUCAUCAGUGUGAGUAGUUUGAGGUAGUGUUGUUGUGAUUGAGAGGCAUCAACUCGCCACUGUAAAGCUUUAACAUGAAGCCAAGCAGGUUUUAAUGACACAGGACUCUUAAUGAAUGAAGUUUUAAGGGAUAGAAUUUUCACAAUGAAAUAAGAAAAAUCUCAAGAAAAAGGUUAGGCUCUAGUAAAAACAAGCUGUGUCAUAAGAGUGGUUUUCUAUAUUCAACAUUACCCUUCACAUAUGCUCAGAAAAAUAUGUUAUGCUCAAACUAGUUCAUAGUCUUCAGAAAUAGGAAUGGAUGUUAUACUUCAAUGUAAUAUUAAUAUAUUACAUAUAAAAGUAAACACUUUUGGUGAUAAAAAUGUUGACUAUAAAUGUCAGCAAGCUUAUUUUGUCUUUCAGUUUAAAAAAAUUAUUUGUAUUCUGUGUACAUUGGUAUUUGCCUGAAUGUGUGUCUGUGUGAGGGUGUCAGAGUCUCUGGAACUGGAGGUAUAGACAGUUGUGAGUUGCCAUUGGGAGGUUGGUCCUUUGAAAGAAGAGCCAAAUGUUCUUAACUACCAAGCCAUCUCUCUAGUUCAAAUUUCCUUUCUUAAUAGUACCAGCUAUGUUUAAUUAAAAAAAAAACCUAAAGAUGUUUUUGAAAUAUGUAAAGAUGUGAUGGAUUAUAGCAGUGAAAAUUUAGUUUCUCCUUCCCUCUAGUCUCCCCCCACCUUUAUAAUUGCUUCUGAGAAGUCUUGCUGCUCCUUGCUUUCCACAUCAUAAACACCAAACUCAUAGAGGAUAAAGGGGCUGGGGGAUGUUUAGUUGGCAAAGUACUUGCAGCAUAAGCCUGAGGCCCUGAGUUUGAGUCCCAGAACCUACCUAAAAAUGGCAUGAAUUUGUAAUCCAGGGCUGAACGGGGAGACAGCGAGCUCCUGGGGCUGCUAGCCUUCCAGUCUCAUUUAUUAGGUGAAUCAAUAAAGUCAUGUCUCAAAUCAAGGUGUCUGGUUUCUGAAGACUUAUACCUGUGGUUGAGCUCUGGCUUCCACACAUGCACAUGUACCUAUACAUUCAUGUGCAUUCACAUAAACAUGUAUGUGUAUGAGCAUAAACUCACUGCUUACUUUAAUAGUCCAAUUAGUUCUCUUAAUGUCCUACUGAGAGCAUUGUUGAUAGUGACAGUCCUUUUCAUGAACAUCAAGUUAUCUGAGCAUUCUCUAUAUCAAAUCAGCAGAACAGCAGGACAUAUGUGUCUAUAAUCUCUUUCUUCUAUUGACAGUAAUUAAAAAAAGAAGAGUAGCCAACAGCCCUCAGGAUUAACUUCAACUGAACGUCAGAAUUCUUACUGUGCCCAGUUACUAAGAAUUGAAGAGGAAAAUAAGAUAUGUGACAUGAAACUCGAGCCCAGUUCAACAGCAUGACAUAUUGGAGUUUAUAUAUAAUGGAAUGUGUAGCUCACCCUCCCAUGCUCCCAUGACAGUGGGCAGAGACUGACAAGUCUCCUUACACUGUCCCAUGUUCCAUUCACUCUUCAUUUGCAAACUCUAUGAGGCACUCUGCACUGACCCAUGGUAGGCUUUCCAAGCCGUCUAAUCCUUUUCCUUAUCGCUGCUUAUGUUCCAAGAAGAUCUGGCUCUGGGUGUAUUUACUGAGAUAAUGAUUUACUAUUCUAAACAAUUACUUUUUACCAUUGCUAGAAACAAUUCUGUAUAUAAGAGCCUUUUUAUUCCUCCUCCUCUUCCUCCUCCUUAAAUAAAGGAAUUUGCCUCCACUGUGGUAGACUAGCACUGGGUCAGAUGCUUACUGCAGAUGAUGCCAGGGAGGAAGCAUGGAAACCAUUAUGAAGGAUAUAAGCUAUAAACUCAGUUUAUCUCUAUUGAAUUCUCAGGGACCUCUAAGAAUGAAAGGAUCUGUUUGUUAAUGGCUUUUCCAAAUAAAAGCCACCCAAGGGCAUUGAUGUCAUGCAUCACUAGCAGCCUUGAAAUGUCCGGGCAAUCAGGAAUCACUGGCAUUUCCAUGGCAUGAGAAUGCCUGUGCAUUCGCUUUCACGUAAACAGUAGGGGCUCCUAACAUCUGAGAUUUGCAACGGGUCUUCUUUAACAUCUAAUCCACAAUGUGGUAGAGGCUUUGGACUCUCCCUGAUUGCUUCUCUCUACCUAUGGAGCAAGUUCUUACUGAAGGGGCAUUAAUUUUUAAAAGUCCCCUAGAAUCUCCUCAGGUCUCUAUGUCCUUGACAGAGUGGCUGUGGUCUUCAAUACAAUGCAUCAACUCCUGAAAGUAGGGUGCUUUUCUUAUUCAUCCCUUAGAAGUUGUAUCUUCCUAAGAGUCUGACUUUUCUUUUGAAAGAUAAGGAAAUUAAAAUCCAGUAAAGCUAGCCAGCCAUUCACAAAGGAAUAGAUAACUGAAGAACACCCUGAGUUCUUUCACUGAUUCAGAAUCUUAAUAUUCUAACAAGAUCCCGGGCAGCUUGUGCCUCUACAAUCUCAAGGUCCCGAAAACAGUGAUAUAGACGGUGACGACUAUUCUUGUUUGUCAACUUGAAUACAACUGGAAUUAACUGAAACUUCCAAAUGGGGGACACCUGUUUUUGAAGUGGGAAGAUCCACUUCUAAUCUGGAUCUUUGAGAUGGGAAGACUUACCUUUAGUCCAGAUCUUUCGAGGUGGGAAGAUCCACCUCUAACCACAUGGAAGAAGGAAGCUUUUGCUCUUUGCCUGCUUACUCUUGCCUCAGUAGCAAGUUCAUUCCUUCACUGGUAUUAGAGUCUGAUUCUUUAGGACUCCAGCAUACAUCGAAGAGCAGCUGAAGCAUUCAGCCUUGUGGACUGAGCAUCUACUGGAUUCUUAGACCUUUCAUCACAGACAGCUAUUGUUGUACUAGUUGGAGCACAGCCUGGAAGCUGGUCUAAUAAAUCCCCUUUCUGUAUAUAGUGAGAUUCAUUCUGUAAGUUGUUACUCUUAGAGAACCUUGACUAAUACAAAGACCUAAGAGCAUGAUGGGACCUAGGAGGAGAGGCAGGAACAGGGAACAGAGAGAAGGGAGAAAGACAAGACCAAAAGAGGCAGAAAAAGAAAGAAGGGUUUAGAUUCAGCUCUGUUCUAUUAUUCCUCUGGCUUGGGAAGUCACUGUUACUAUCAUUUCGUCAUUUGUCAAACACAGCAUGGUCAGUGAGGAGCAGAUGGCUCACUGCCUGCAACCUUGUGCCUUGGUCUAAAGGGUUCAAUGUGUGCAUUUUCUACCAUGGCCUAGAAAAAUGAUGUAGUAUGGGUUUUCUUUUUUACAAACCUUUCUUUGCUCUUUGCCCUACUUCUUAAUUUGAGAAUUUCCAGAGUCCCACCCCACACUUUCUGCCCCCCUGUACCCCAGUCUUCUUCCUGGGUGGUCUCCCCCUUCUCUAGCUCCUAUUUCAAAGUCCCAUUUGUCUGAUAUGAGCGCAGCCUCUCAGGGUUACUGUUUGCUUGGUUCAUCUUUUCCCUUCUUAUUGCUUUCACCCUACUAGAAUCUUUGUAUCUAAAGUGUGUUUUCUUUAUGUAGAGUAUAGUUGGGUCUUGUUUCAUGUUUUAUACAGUCUGAUAGUUCCUGCCUUUUGACAAGAUCAAUUAUUUGUAAUUAAGGUUCAAUUUACUUCUGCCUCUUUGCUUUUGAGUUUCCAUGCUUCAAAUGUUGUUCAUAGAUUUUUUUAUAUUUCCUUUGCUGCCUUCCUUUAUAAGAACUAGAUAUUUUAUAGUGUAGAGUGUCCAUUUUUUGAUUUUAAAAAUAUAUUUUUAUUAUUUCUUUGCAAAUGUCAUACAUAAAUACAAUAUUUUUAAAAUUAUAUUUACUCUCACUUCUACCCCUAACUCUUCCUGAAUCUAUUCUCACUCUCCAUCCCUUCUCAACUUUAUGUCUUUCUUUUUUAAAAUAUUAGAGAGUCCAGUUUAUACUAUAUACUCAUAGAUAUAGAGACAUACACUAGUGCAUGGUUAAUAUAGUAGGGGCCACAUCGUUAAACAAUAUGGACUCCUUCUUCCCCAGAAGUCACCAACUGUCAAUAGCUGCUCAUUGAGGGGUGGGAACACCUGACACCCUUCCUCCCAAGUUGGAAUGUUGAAUGGCUUGAUCUUGUCCUGGUCUUGUGCAGACAACCACAGCUGCUGAGAGUUUGUGAGUGCACUGGUCUUGUCAUAUCCAGAAGACACUGCUUCCCUCUAGGCCUCCCCAGCCUCUUGCCCUUACAAUCCUUCUGCUCCCACUUCCAAAAUUAUCCUAAGUUUUGGAGGAAUGGGUGUGAUACAGUGUCCCACUUAAGACUGAACACUCCACAGAUUCCGGUUCUCUACACUUUUACUGAUUGUGAGUUUCUGUAUGAAUUGAUGCUUACUACAUAAAGAAACUUCUAUGGGAUGUAGUAGCUUCACUAAUCAAGGGGUAUAGAGAUAUCAGUUCACUACAGUGCCCAUUUAGAAAAAUAAUAGUAAUAAGUUCACCCAUGGAGCUUGUCAGCUCCUUAAGCAUCGGUUCUGGCCAGAUGGAUAAUAUCAGGCUUGAACACAUUUCCUCCUGUAGAGCAGUCCUUAAAUCCAGUCAUAAUAUUUGUGCCACUGUUGCACUAUCAACACAGCUUGUCACACUGCUGUUACUGUAGUAGUUCACAGCUGAGUAAGAUUAUUGUCUCAGCAGCCUGCAGUGCAGAGCUCCUUCCAGGAGAGAUCUCAGCAGCAGAGAGAAAGCUUCCAGGUCAGUACCAAGUUCAUUCCUCCAUGUUCUGUGACAAAACGAUGUAGUUUCUUCAGCAAUGGGCUCUUAAUAUCAAGUUCUGGUAGGCCACCAAGAGGAAUGCCAAUGACCUCUAAUGUUUGAGGAUUCCCCAAAGACACCCCUGACAUUACCUUGCACUUCAGCUUUAAAAUACUUAUUUAUUAAUUCUUUGUGAGUUUCAUAUGAAAAUAUUAAACUUAUUAUAUAAGCACUCUCUCAUAUUUUUUAAUCUUAUUCCUUUAUGUACUGCCAUUUAUGUUACAAACCUCACAUGAAUUCUAGCUACUACUUUACAUGUGGUACAUAUUAUAUAGGAUCUAGACUCACAUAAGUUCAUGUUUGCAAAGUAUUAGAUUGAUCUUCAGAUUCACUUAGUCUGAUUUACUCCAUUUCUCCCUGAAGAUUUCAGUUGCUCACUAGUAUCUUUCCUUUACCUGAGAGCUGUGUCAUUUUUGUUUAUGUCCUUUAUGUUCCUCUUUUCAGAUUUAUGACAUUUCAGCAUCCUGUAAACCCAAUAGUGUGGUAUGUACAUAUACAUUGUUUUAUUAUGCUGUUCUUACCAGGAGUACAUACCCUAUACUUUUGUCUUUAUCAUGUUGUAACUGAGGUGAAAUUCAUAUAAUGCUAAACUUAUUAAAGUGGAGAAUUCCAUGGCUUUUACUGCACUCAUCACGUUGUAUAACCCUCACAUUCUUUAGUUUCUUUGGUUUGAAUUUUUUAUGACUUUAGAGAAAUUUCACAAGCCCUCUUCCUCUUCCCGUUGCAAACAGUCUUUCAACCUCAGUGGUGUAUCUAUUCUAGAUGAUUUACUUAAAAAAUUUAUGCAUUAUAUGAUUUAUAUCUGUUUUUUACUAGAGCACUUUCAAGGUUCGUCCAUAAGUACUCCAUCCCUUUUUGUGGUUAUAUAAUAUUUCACUUUGUGUAUAUAACAAAAUGUGCUUAUCUGUCUACAUGUUGAUAGAUACAAGCAUUGGUCUCUUGCCUCUGAGCUAUGAUUAGUAACUGCUGU
Molecule: long non-coding RNA, 7358 nt
Organism: Apodemus sylvaticus (European woodmouse)
Lineage: Eukaryota; Metazoa; Chordata; Mammalia; Rodentia; Muridae
Exons: 6
Source: RefSeq, a predicted model, not a curated record